Molecule: non-coding RNA, 1526 nt
Organism: Cyanistes caeruleus (blue tit)
Lineage: Eukaryota; Metazoa; Chordata; Aves; Passeriformes; Paridae
Source: RefSeq, a predicted model, not a curated record
GUGAUGUAUACUACAGCCAAGAAUGACAGAGGAAUUUCCCAUUGCAAUGCCCUGCAGGUUGACUGGCUCUCUUAGCAUGCUGAAACUCAGCUUGAGGUACAAAGGACUUCCUAUUUCAACAGCACAUCCUGCAUCAGUCUCUGAAAUCCUGUCAAGCCUUACCAGUGAAGUAAGCUAAGACUCUCCAGAAGCAUCAGCAGCCACAAUAAAGCCAAAAUUCUGCUCAUUCAGCUUCACAAGGGUCUGGGGACCUGCUGGAGGGCAUCAACAGUCCCUGUCUUCACUUCCAGAGAUCCUCACAGUGGGAACUCAGUGGUGUGCAGAUGAAGUGUGCACCCAAACCUUGACCACUCCUAAAGCAUUCAGGAUAUAGCCAUGGAGUUGCCGUGGAGAGAGGACCACACUACAGACAUAAGUGUGGCUCUCAGAACAUGCCUCCAUGUCCUCUGUUCAAAUGCAGAUGUUGGGAACACAUUGAAGACAGAAGCAAGCAUCUAAAUGACCUUGAAAGCAAAUGUUUCAGUAAAUAUCUAGGAAUUGGACAGAUUAACUAUAUAAGGAAGACCAAGACUAAAAGGAAAUAGCAUUAGCUAUUUCCAAGUGACUCAGAAAAAAAUUGAAGUGUACUUUAUCUGUGUAUCACAGAUAAAAACACAGCAGCUUCUAGAAAAUGAAUGGAUGGGACAAAUAGACACUACAUUGGCACAAUAAAUGCAAUUCUUAAUCCAAACAGUUAUUAUUUUCUUGUCCACAACAAAGAUUGUCUCAGCCAGAGAAAAUAUUUUUAAUUUCUCAGUACAAGGGUUCUCUUGGCCAAGAAGUGCAAGACUCUUGCUGACUCUUUUCCCAUCCCACAAUGCUGCCCUUGCUACUUUUGUAGGCUUCCCUUACAAGCUUUCUCACAGCACCCAGCUCUCCCUCCCUCCACCAUUUCCCACUCACACAUGCACAGACACCUGCCUGGGUAGGACCAUGCUUAGCAACAGAAAUAUUUCUAUUUCCAAGUGCUUUGAAAUUCCUGAGUUGACUCUGCCUUUCAUGAAAAAAUAGUGAUUGAUGGUUAAAGAAUACUAUUUCCCUACUGACUUUCUUUACUGAUUUAAUGACUUCUCAUAACCACUUUAUAUAAAGAGGCAGUGCCUAACAGCUUCAGAAAGUUGUAACACACACUGCAAUAGUACAUACAUCUGACCUUGUCUGAGACAUAAGAAUAUCUGACAGUGCAGAAUUUCACUACUAUUCAUCUAUGUAAACAUACAGAUAGGUAUCAGGUGGGAUCUACAAAAAAUGCUGGCACCUAUGUUACUUUACAAAGAUACCCCUGAGAACCUGAUUCAAAGCCAUUUCUCUAAAGAGAAAUUACUAUUGACUUUAUUAGGAUUCAGUUGAGAUUAAUGUUGCACACUUCUUUGCUGCCCUUUCCUGUCUCUGUUCCUGGGAUUUGAAUUGUUCCCUCAAGGCAUUUCAAAAAAAGGAUGGAAAUGUUAGCUGCAAUGCAUGAGAAGUUGAAUACUUGUCCUUCUGGU